GGGCGGGUGGUGAAAUUGGUAGACACGCAAGCUUGAGGUGCUUGUGACAGCAAUGUCUUGGAGGUUCAAGUCCUCUCUCGCCCA
This 84-nucleotide transfer RNA is filed under the name bacterium. Its description in RNAcentral is "tRNA-Leu". It matches the Rfam family "tRNA". From Rfam's summary of the family: Transfer RNA (tRNA) molecules are approximately 80 nucleotides in length. Their secondary structure includes four short double-helical elements and three loops (D, anti-codon, and T loops). The record is from RNAcentral.